Long non-coding RNA from Ictalurus punctatus (channel catfish), 1431 nucleotides. RefSeq lists it as uncharacterized. The record is from RefSeq and is a predicted model, not a curated record. The transcript is spliced from 3 exons. NCBI's taxonomy places the organism in Eukaryota, Metazoa, Chordata, Actinopteri, Siluriformes, Ictaluridae.
UCAGUACCUGAUCUCACUAAUGCUCUUGUAGCUGAAUGAACACAAAUCUGGCAAAUGGGGGAACAAAUCUGAACAAGUCCUUGAUGUUCGACAAGGACGUAUGGUUGUGAUUGACAGGUUCUCUGGUUUCCUCCGACCUCCUCAUAACAUAGCAGUAAGCGGAUUGGCUACGAUAAAUUGCUCCUAGACGUGACCGUGUGUGCAAGGUGUCCUGAGAUGAACUGCCCAGUUCCUGGGAUAGAUGCCAGAUCCACUGCGACCCUGACUUGGAUAAAACGGCUACCGGAAGUGAUCGAGACGGAGAUGUGAAACUAAGCUCACUGCGAAAGGACCAGCGGAGCGUAACAGUGCUGGAUAAAUGAUUUGUUAAGGUUCUUUUUCCUUCAGGUACAUGAGGUAAAUAAAAUGGCAUAAUGGCAAAAUCCUAUGCGUGUGUCCCUAAACAAAUCUUCCUGUCUAAGCUAUAAUAGAUAUACUGAGCAAAAGUUAGAUUAGAGUUAACUUCGGUUCACUUAAUGCAUAAUCUGGCAGGAUGAGGCUCUACUGGUAAUUCAUUCAUGAUGGUUGAGACAUAAUUGGCCAGAAAUAUUUAACUUAAUCGAAAAGGGUGCCACACUUCUCUCUUAUUCUACACACACCUACCCACGCUAUUGUAUCCACUAUUUUAAUCAAUACUUUAUCUUUUUUGGUACAUUACACAUAAACUUGGCAGUACCAUUCCCAUAAGGCCUAACGCCAAUCUUAACUAUUUUAUCUUCUGUAUUUGAACAAAGAUUUGUACUUUUGUACAUAUAUUUGUCCUCUCUAGUUAGUAUGCACUGUCUUUAACAUUUAUUGUCCUGAAUUUGUAUUUUAUCCUGUAUACUCGUUGUGAAGUGUGUUUACUGUUCUGUGCAUUUAUUGCUCUGUUUAUUUAUUGUUCUGUUUAUUUAUGAUUGUGUAUUUAUUGUCUUAAGUAUUAAAUGUCCUGAGUCUCUUUUUUUUCUAUGAAGUAAUUCCAUCCAUCCACCCAUCCAUCUUCUAUACUGCUUAUCCUGAGUCACGGGGAAACCUGGAGUCUAUCCCAGGGAGUAUGGGGCACGAGGCGGGGUACACCCUGGACAGGAUGUCAAUCCAUCGCAGGGCACAAUCACAUACACACUCACACACCCGUUCAUACACUACGGACACUUUGGACACGCCGAUCAGCCUACCGUGCAUGCGUUUGGACUGGGGGAGGAAACCGGAGUACCCGGAGGAAACCCCCGCAGCACAGGGAGAACAUGCAAACUCCACACACACAGGGCCACGGUGGGAAUCGAACCCCCGACCCUGGAGGUGUGAGGCGAACGUGCUAAGCCACUAACAUAUUUUUGGAGACAUAUCAUUUGACACCAUUAUGUGACCUGAUCAAAUAAAAGCAGCUCUUGGAUGUGAGCUCUGACUUUUGUA